UACAGAGGUCCCGAGCGUUGUUCGGAUUUAUUGGGCGUAAAGGGUGCGUAGGCGGCGGAGUAAGUUGGGUGUGAAAUCCCGGGGCUCAACCUCGGAAUGGCAUUCAAUACUGCUUCGCUCGAGUUCUGUAGAGGAGAUUGGAAUUUACGGUGUAGCAGUGAAAUGCGUAGAUAUCGUAAGGAACGCCAGUGGCGAAAGCGAAUCUCUGGGCAGCAACUGACGCUGAGGCACGAAGGCCAGGGGAGCAAACGGG
RNAcentral lists this ribosomal RNA (253 nucleotides) under uncultured bacterium. RNAcentral describes it as "partial 16S ribosomal RNA". It matches the Rfam family "Bacterial small subunit ribosomal RNA", at positions 524 to 776 of the family's 1533-position model. The record is from RNAcentral.